This 68-nucleotide transfer RNA is filed under the name Dipodomys ordii (Ord's kangaroo rat). It matches the Rfam family "tRNA". Rfam says of the family: Transfer RNA (tRNA) molecules are approximately 80 nucleotides in length. Their secondary structure includes four short double-helical elements and three loops (D, anti-codon, and T loops). Lineage: Eukaryota; Metazoa; Chordata; Mammalia; Rodentia; Heteromyidae. The record is from Rfam by way of RNAcentral.
AAGCAUGGCUCAAGUGAUAAAGCAUCUGCCUAGCAAGCACAAGACCCUGAGUUCAAAUCCCAGUACUU